Molecule: long non-coding RNA, 3146 nt
Organism: Brassica napus (rape)
Lineage: Eukaryota; Viridiplantae; Streptophyta; Magnoliopsida; Brassicales; Brassicaceae
Exons: 2
Source: RefSeq, a predicted model, not a curated record
GCUCAAUCGGUCGGCUUAAGAGUCAGGUCCUUCGGCUUGACUCUUGAGUACUUUUAGUCGAUCAUCAUCGACUGAAGUAUGCCCGGCCCAGCGGCUGCUCGGGCGUCUACGGGCUUCUCGGCCCAGCAAAGGAGGCCCACCGAGAUGGCGUAAAUUAGGUCAAGGACGAAACAUCAGGACAUCUAUAUAAGGGAAAGGAGAAACAACGAGAGGAGGAUCCGAAAUCAGCAACUAACACUUGGCGGCUAGAUUAGGGUUUUCACCUUUCUUCAUCUCGCCGUUAGUUGUACCUUUCCGGUAGCUCGUCGAGCCACCGGCUUCCUUUCUAUCGCAUUCUCUCCGUUUCUCUUGUAACCGACUGAACGUUCGCCCGACCAUAAAUAAGACGUCUUUGUUAAACCCACAUCUUCUUUAUUACCGUUUUCCGAUCAAACACAUUCACAUAUGAUUGACAGGAUCGCAACCUUUUAAAGUUCCUCUGCAUCAAGUCAUUCAGUAGUAAUGACUAUGUGUCUUCACCGGGGAUAAUGUGUUGAAUAUCAUCACUUUGGUGUCUUCUAUAUUUUUGGUUUUAUUGUUUCAUUAUCCUAGUUUCUAUUUGGUCCUAAUUUCUACUGAUUUCUCAAAUAAUCACAUGUAUUAUUCUUUUCAUGUCGAAUUUGUUGAUUUUCCGCUCUUACCUAUCGUGUAUCACAUUGCGAUAUCUAUCAAUGUCAUGGACUGUUAUAGUUGAUUCCCCUCUCAAAUGGAAAGAUUUAUUUGAUUUCCAGCUAUCUAGUGUAGGAGAAGGCACAACUUUGUCAUUUGAGAUAUUCAUGAUUAUUCAUGUCGAGCAGUUGACAUUUAAAGCACUUGGAGGACGUUUUAGAAAGAGAGAAACUCACUAUCCAUAUUAAAGCAAUGAGCAUGAACACAAACUAUAAAAAAAGGUACAAAGAGAACGUAACCAGGAAGAUUUGGAGAUGUUCAAAAAUACAUGCAAGGUUGAUUACUUUCUACUAUAUGAAUGGUGAUUGAGACUGCAUAAAUAUGUUAGAAAACAACAUGGAGAAACAACUAAAGCUUAAAAGAGAACACUGGCUGUAUAGCUCAUCAUUCUUUGGAAAAUAGCUCGAGUUGUUUAAACGCCCUACUGAUAACACUGAGUCAAGGCUUGGUGAGAUGAAUAUCAGAAGCGCCUCGUGCAGCAUCUGUAGUGGGAGCAACAUCGAUACCAAUAUUGGCUCUCUUCAAACCAGGAGCAUCCAUAACCAGUCAUCCUACAAUAUAUAUGCUUCAAUUCUUGCAACUUUUUCACAAUCUCGUACUUCUGCUAUGGCUGAUCGCUGUAGAAAGAGAGCAUGUUCAUGAACAAAAAAAAACUCUUCUUAACCAACCUGGGAAGACAGCAGCAAAGGCAUCAGCUUUCUCAACUGUUCAACGGGAACAUCAGCCAGGCUUACGUCUUUGUGAUUACCAUGUAGAGAAGCUGAUGCUGAUGGAUACGUGUUUGAUCCCAUAUCAAGCCUAUGUCAGAGUCUAUUUGGCAAUAGCAAGUUGAUCUCCUAUUUUGACCCCAAAAAAAGAAAGUUGGUCUCCUAUAAGAAAACCAAUACUACAUAAGAUUAAAGCCAAUGAUAGAAGAAAAUAGACAUAUAUUAACCGAUGAUCAUCUUUAUGUUGAUACUGAUACUGUAUUACUGUAUCAUGUCUUGGAGGAUCAAACCAAGGCAACACACCAACGAAUUCACGUGGACCACCAAAGCUUUUUUAAUAUCAUCAAAAGAAAAAGGUUUUAAAGGUUAAAUCAAUAAAGAGAAGAAACAUACUAAAACUUGAAGUGCAGCAAAACAAAAUCAGUUCGUAGGUACCUGCUCUGGAGAAAUAUAUAAAGAAAAUAUUGUACCUUUAUAUUGGUUGGUGAUGGAUCUGACUCGAGCAAACACAGAGUUCAGGUUGUUAUCAACGACCUGUUAAGAAAGCAAUAGAUUAAUUAGCAAUGUCGACAGCAUAACUUAUAAUCAAUAGAUCACAAAGAGGUUAAUCAAGGAGACUAAAAAUACCUUCAACCUCAGAAAAUACCGUCGAUAUAAAUAUUCCUCCAAAAAAAUCAGCCUAACAAUCAUCAGUAUCCUAACCAAAAAAGAAAAAAAAACAAAAGUAGGAUUAUAUCAUUACUAGGAAAAUCAACCCAAUAAUAGUACAAGGUUCUCUCAGGAGCACGACACAUCAAAUUUUUAAAUGUUAGAGAUUGACAUGUCAUUAACUGAAAAAAAAGGUUGAAAAGCCAAUCAAAAUAUUUUGUUUCUCCACGUCAUAUUUGUUUGGUCUUGUGCUUAUAGAGAAUCUUAAGGACGUCGGUGAUUUUGACAGUCUCCGCCUCCAAAUCAUAAGCCGCCCCUGUGCAGCUUCUUUGCAUGGUUUAUCAACUUUCUCGAUUCCCAAUUUCGACAGCUCCGCCUCCAAAUCAUACGCCGACUCGAAGAUAACAUAAACCCCCUUGCUCUCAACGAAGCUUGGCCUCCUCCGUCGAAAGCUCUGAUUUUGGAGAUUUCUUUAAAGUACCCAUCGUUUAUAGAUUAAGAAAGUUUGGCCCUUGAUCUUGAUUUUAGGAUAUAAGUGUAUUGCUGGAAGUUGCUUUCAUCAUUCAUCAUUGAUGAUCGGGAUCGAGUAUACUGUAGAGUGAAAGGCGUGUUUGUACAGUUUCACCUCUCCCGGAGGUCCAAUGUACCCGACAAGGGCUGUUCGUCAUGCAGCCUGGGACGCUUUGGAUUCCCUCUUUCCGGUGGGGCGUUACCCGAGGCAUCUCAUCAGUCUAUUUUUCAGGCUGUUGUAUCCAUGGUACUGGCCAUCAUCGUGCUGGAACUCUGUGGUUUCUUGCGUUAAGGCGGUACUCUAUUCCAUCGUAAGGCUCAUCUUUUCACGGCAAGAAAAGCCAAGGCAAAGCUGAAUAGCUUCUACAUAUGAUUGAAGCUCGCUGCAGGAAUCCAAUCCCUUGUGUAUAGAAUGUGAUUUUGGUCACAAUGAGGCACACCAAGAGAACUUUACAUAAGCCCCUCUUUGGUCACUUUCCUAUCCUCAGUAACCUUAUAACUCAUAUUACAAAUUGUAUUGUCAUGACUGGACACAACUUUUCGAGUGAAUACAUACAGAAAAAGUAGGGCACA